AAUCUUGAUGUUUAUAAUUUUGAAAGAUGAAUUUACAUGUGUGGAGAUAUAAAGCAUGAAUCUUGAACGAUAUUUAUCAUGAUUUUGAUAUUUGGGUUGUGAAUCCCCAUUGAAAAUUGUGUUUUUUUGAGAAAGUGUGUGUUAUAAGCACGUUGAUAUUGAAUAUUUGAGAUAUUUUGAAUGAUUUGACCUUUUGGUCUUAAUGGAGUUGUUUUGAACUCGAGUGUGAAA
RNAcentral lists this long non-coding RNA (231 nucleotides) under Capsicum annuum. RNAcentral's name for it is "long non-coding RNA (CANN_LNC019666)". The record is from RNAcentral. Lineage: Eukaryota; Viridiplantae; Streptophyta; Magnoliopsida; Solanales; Solanaceae.